UCCUUUGAUUUUUCAUUGCUUUAUCAUUGACAAGUUAAAGCUGUCAAAAACUAUUAAAAAAUAACAACGAUUUUAUAAGACUUUAACAGAUGGUUUAUAAUCAUACAUAUAAAAGAUUUAUAAAAAGAAAAAUGGGGGUCAAUGGGCAAAAUUUUUUAAGGCAUUCAAAUGGAUAAUACCAGAGGAUUCCGAAAAUCUGACAAAAAUCCAAAAACAUGACAAGC
This 224-nucleotide long non-coding RNA is filed under the name Mytilus galloprovincialis (Mediterranean mussel). Lineage: Eukaryota; Metazoa; Mollusca; Bivalvia; Mytilida; Mytilidae. The record is from RNAcentral.